This is a non-coding RNA of Xyrichtys novacula (pearly razorfish), 18923 nucleotides long. The record is from the annotation of a GenBank genome assembly. Lineage: Eukaryota; Metazoa; Chordata; Actinopteri; Labriformes; Labridae.
UUUGAGUUUCUCUGGUGAAUCGCAGACGGACAGACGUCCUGCUGUCUUAAAACCGGCUUCGUCUUCGAACCCUGAACUGGAACGUUUGUUGAAGGUCUUCAUGAGGUCUGAUAGAGGGUCUGGUUUCUAGAUUUAUCCAUAUUGAGGCUGUCUCCACACAAACAGAAACCAUUGAUCCAAAUUAAAGGACAUUUACGCUCUUUUUUUCUGCUCUCAUUUAAAGUCCAGGUUAGGUCUGAGCGAUUUGGCAAAAAAAAUGAUCACGAUACAUUUUGCCAUAUCGUCCGAUCUCGAUUAUUAUCACGAUUUAUUUUUAACUGUCUGUUUUAGAGCAUCUGUACUAAAAACUAAAGAAACUAGAGAUAAGUUCAACAUUUUAUUUACAUACAAAGUAAAUAACAAAGAAUAAGAUAAACUUAGAAAAAUACCCAAAAAAAAAUUUCACUCAACAGAACAACAAAUGUAGAUAAAAUACUAGAUAAUACAGUGAAUUAGUUUACAGUCCUGAGUGUUUCUGCAGGUAUGACAGACCCAAAAUAAACAAAUCUCCCCCUCAGAGAUAAUGAAGACACUUUAAAAUGUAAACAUUAGAUGAUUUAAACGUAAAUCAUACGAUUAAUCGCUGCCUAGGUCUGGUGGCUGCACCGCUAGUUGUGGCUAAACCGUUAAUGCUACUCAUACCGUCAGCAGUGACAGGCUGUACAGACUCCGCCCACAUUUUCAUGCUUUCCUCAUAAUCACUGGAGAGGUACUUCUCCAAAUGAUUAAACAGAUCUGUUGUGUUGCUGGUUCUUGAGCGCACCGAUCGCCGACAUACCUCGCUCAUCGGCUUAUUUACUGGACGUCACUUUGGAGAUACCCGAACCACCGCCACACAACUGACGGUGAAUAACUUCUCAACAAUAACAAAAGCUCUGAUUGGCUGUUGUGACGCACAUUUCCUCUAUGUUUGAUCGAUAGCUGAUCACCGUGAUUGAACUGAAAUUUAUCACGAUCAUAUAAUCGCCCAGUCCUAGUCCAAGUGUGGUGGAGUAGUUUGACUCGACCACAUCCAGGUACCUGACUACACCCGAGCUUCACUUGCUGCUACUGCUGUUCACACACAAAGACUCUGUGAACCUGCGCCACACUCACCUCCACUGUCACAUGUCUCCCGUGUAGACCAUAAGCAGCCGACUGUGUUUCUGUGCCAGAGGAUAAUUGCAGCUAUAGGAGGGUAAGAAAUAAGAGAUCUGCUCAAUUAACCAAUACAGCACAGCUGAGGACAGCACCUGUGCACGGUGGAGCCCCGGCUCUUUUCCUGCAGAUAACAUGGCCGAUUACCCUCUGGAGUGUGCAGCCGCCGCUCUGCCGCUCGCUCCGUUACCUGGUGCGAGGCGGAGAAUAGCACAUGCAACCAAAGCAGUGUGUUUAAUCGCUCUCGGGGUGUUAAUAUGCACUCGUGUUCGGGGUGUAAUGAUGAGCAGUUCACCGGCUGCCAGGUUUGAACAGUUGGAUAAAACCUCCGUGGUUGUGUGGAGUCGUUCACUGGGAAAAAAGAGAUCCUGCUGUUUGUCUAUAUGAGCCUGAGUGAAAGUACCUGUUUACAUUAAGAGGUGUGUUAACCAGCAGGCUGGAGCUAUAAAGACAGGAAGCAGUAGAGAGCUGUUGGAAGAUGGUGAGAGGCUAAAAAUAAACCUGAAAGAAGGUACGCUUCACUCCUCAGUCUGUCUCUAAGACCUGUGCACUUUUUAAUGGAUAAAAACUCCUAAAAUAUAUAAAACAAAGUGAAGUGAAAUCUUUAAAGAGCAUUAUAUACGCUCUUAAAUGUAAAGACACGUAUCUUAUGUCACAUGAAAUGAUGUUUCUGCCUCCAUUAAAGCCCAAUAAUACCAGGAUACAUAUCAAACAUCAUCAUUAGAGGCUUUAAAGUCCGUCUUUUUUUUUUUUUUCGUCUGCUGCCAAACACGGCUUCACUCUGCAGUCAAUAAUUAGCUUUCCUGUCAUUCCCCCCCAUCGAUGCUCUACAUUUCAUGAUACCACAUCAGAAGAUCAAAUAAACUGAUGUCCCUGUCAGAGGGGUAAAAUAAACUCUCUGCAACCUGGUUCCCCUGCACGAACACACCAGACGAUUUCUGCUGGCAACAUUGCCCCGAAAAAGGCAGAGAAAGUUGCUUAGCAGAUGUCAGUUGUUGUGUUUAUCUCGGCGGUUUUCCUGCGCUCGUGCAUGGAUCUUAUAUCAAAGAGGGCUUAUCCGAAUAAAGUGCUUAAAAGCUUUUCAGACGCCUGGUGAUCUGAACAAUUUUUGGCUUGAUCUGCAGACUAAACAAACCAUAAUGAUGCAAGCUUGUGUAAAGAUGUACACAGCAGUCGAACAACAAAUGCCUGCGCUUGAUGUUUUUAUUAAUGUUUUCUCGUCUCCUUUUCAUCAGGUUUGUCUUUAUAUCUCCUCUGUUUUGGGGUGGAAACACCAGGGGGUGACUUCUUGUUUGCUCCUGCAGAGGUGCAAAGAAAAGGACGGACGUAAAUUCAUGCACAAAAACGAAAAAAGCAACGUGUCAUCUGCUGCUUCUGUCCUGGCCUUUGCAGAGUCAGAUUUCCCUCGGGAUGAGGGGGAUUUUUCUGUGCAACAUAAUCAAAAAUAUUCAAAUAUUCCUGCAGUCAGUCAGGGAAUGGAAACAAUCCUGCUGCAGAAAAGGUGUAUUUUCUAGGACGGUAUAAUAACUCCUGCUGUCGCAGAGAAGUAAAAGCGGCGACGGUGGCAGCGGCAUUAAGUUUUUAACACUCCCUGUAUUUUGUAACAAGGUUGGAUGUGUGAAGAAAGUUAGCAGACAUCCUCUCAAGACCUGCCCGUCUCAUUUCAAUGCAGAGAAAGGAGCGCCGGGGCUCUCCUCUGAAGUCACAACUUCUGGCUCACAUGAUGGGAGGCAGACGUCGGCGAGAUGUGCGCGCUAAAGCCAAUCAAAAGACCUGAAUUCUAUUUGUUUUGUUUCAAGGGAAGACGACAAAGGGGGCCUCAAGGUCUUCUUCAAGAUGGCUCUGAAGCCUGAAAGGAGGAAAAACCGGGGGAAGAGGGAGGACCGGGGCUUUCAAGUGCCCGUCCUUGGUGGGACCUUUGCCGCGGUGCCAGGUACACAGCUUUUAGGAGGGGCGGGGGCUGUUUUUUUCAUGUUAGUGCGUGGUUCGGGAGUUAUUAAUAUUCUCAAAGACAGAAUUUUCUCUCCCGGAUUGAAAUAAUGGAUCAUACUUAAAAGGGGAAGAACUCAUUUCAGGUUUUAAUACGGUAAGCCUGUUGGAACCAAUUAUUGGAGGUGCUUUGCCAUUGUCAUCUUGCAUUUCUCCUUGAGGAGAUUAACUGGCGACGCUGAAAAGGCCCCGCAGUAUCCGGGAUUUCGCUCAUUCCGAGAAUCUGCCUGAAAUGGAAUAUUUUUCUUGAUUUGUGUGUAUGUGUGUGCGUGUCAAGUUCCAGCAUGUUCCACGUAUUUUGGCUUCAUGUUCUACCUAAUUAUUGCAAUUUGAUCCUAAAGCAGGAGUGUCCUAAUCCUCUGCUGUACUGCAGAAAUCCUGUUUCAGAAACUUUGGUAAUAAAUUUGGCCUGUUUUAAUAGAGACUGGGAAAGUAGCGCUGUGACGGCAGAAGGACGGCCUCCCUGGGAAGAAGAUCCUCUGUCUCUCCUCACAUGCAAAUUCAUGCGCAGAGACAGAGGAGAAGGAGGAGGAGGAGGAGGAGGAGGAGGAAACUCGCUCAAAGUUGGAAGAAGUUGCAGAAGGAAGAAAGAAGAAAUCCCUCGUUUUCUUGUGUUCUUCCUUUCCUGACUGUCCCCUGAACGCUGGAGGCUCUGUGUAGAAGUGUGUGUGUGUGUGUGUGUGCAGAUGUGUGAGUAACAGGGUAACUUUAUCACCCACAAAGUUUGCCUCACAUAAAGCAGCAUUAUUCAAGCUCUGGGUUUGUUCUCCGAGCCGUACGUCACCUUAAAAGACUGAGACAGCUCUGCAAAUGUGGAAUAAUGUGGAACACAGAGUACCAGCGUUCUCUGCAAACACACGAGUUCACCUUCACUCUGCAGAAAGGUGUGUUGAACCCGCGGUCUGGGGUUCUAGUCCUGAUCCAAGAUGAAUCAAACCUGGAAACUGGCUUAUCCUUGUUUCUAGAUGGGUUUGUAGUCACCUGUAGUUGAGGUUUGCACACCUGAGUCAGAGGAACUCAUCUCUUGUGCAUCUGUUGUGUUAAUCUAGACGUUUUUAAUCUUUUAGAGUCAGCUGGUUCUGCAGAGGGCUGGGCGAUAAAACGAUAACGAUAUAUAUUGAAAAUUGAUUCCCCUCAAUAUCAAUAUAAAACAUGAUCAAUAUCCUUUUCAAUCAUCAGCUUACUGCCAUGUUUUGGUAGACUUUACAAAUUACUCCAGGUCCGCUUCACUCUCAACCAAUCCUGUGCUGAAUUAGAACCAAGUAUCAAACAACUGCGUCGUAGCAGACAGCCGCUACACCCAACCAUAGCACUUUAACAUGUAAAGCUGAAAAAAGAAAAUGGGUGCUAAUGACCACGUCGUCAACGACAACACUGGCGUUAGGAAAACGUCGGUGGUGUGGAGGUAUUUUGGUUUGUUGAGGUCGGACAUGAAGCAGAGUAAUGUGGACUGUAAAUUAUGUCGAGUACAUGUUCUCACAAAGUCGGGGAAUACCUCAAAUCUUUUUCACCGCCUAAAGCAGCGCCACGCCGCAGAGCACGCGCAACGCAAAAGGUUACAAAUCCCGAGAGGAGCGAGGAGCCCAUGGCGCCUGAAACAGACGACCAUUCAGUCGGCUUUCUCUAGAGCAACGCCUUACGACAAAACGUCAAAGAGACACAAAGACCUCACAGAUGCAGGAGAUUAUUGUGUUGUAAAAGACAUGAGACCAAUAAACACUGUUAGAUUUUUAUAUCCUGAUAUUGAUCGAUAUCAGCUGAAAUGAUAAAAAUAUAAAGUGAUAAACUUUUUCCCGUAUCGCCCAGCCCUAGCUCUGCACAAACUCCAUCAAACUAGAUCCUGUUCUGGUUUCUGGACUGAGUCUGUAGUUCUGCAUGAUCAUGAUGGAGACAGUAAGUUUUUAUACCCCCUCCAGCUGAGAUGUAGAUCAAGUUUCUCCUUUUGGUCUUUAGGACUCUCAGGACGACCUCUGCAGGUCUUCUUUAGGACCUCAGAUCCCACGUGGAGAACCAGUCUGAUAGCAUGUGUCCUCCUCACCCUGAGGUUCCUCUCCUAAAACACGAGUCCUUUCCUUUUCUCUCUCCUCCUGAAUCCCAUCCAGAGGAAUCAAAGAUGGAGGUGUUACACCUAAACCUCUCUGCAGGACACUCUCCUUUGUUAUUCUCUCAUAUCUCUCCUCCUCCUCCCUCCUCCACCUCCUCCUCCUCCUCCUCCUCCCCACCAGCACCAGGAGUGAGCAUCGUUCUCGGAUCAUUACUCCUCAAAGAAAUUUAAGCGCGGGAUGCCAUUUAAUUUUUUUCCCCCCUCCCCAAACGCAGUCCGUCAUUAGAAAUCCUCGCUGUCAUGCUGAUGCCAUUUUUGGUGCGCAGUGUUUGUUGCCUCAUUUCUUUUAAUUUUAUCUCCAUUAGCUUAAUUCUUUUUUAAUAUUUCCAUCUAACGAACUUUACAGUCCAUUUUGUCUCAGUGUCUUGCUAAGCGAGUUUUAUGAAGCAGGCAGUUGGCUUUUCCAUUUGAGAGCGGGCGAGGAGACGGGGAGGGGGGGUAAUCGAGGAGGGCCGCGCUGCUUUUGUCAGCUUAUUUUUGGCACCUUAGCUAGCAGUUCUGCUUCUUCGCCUUGAUUAUACAAGCAAACAACUGCAUGGAGUUCAUUAACAAUAAAGCACAGGCUAAUUAAGCCGAGCCCCUUAGACAAACCAGCGCUGUCAUGCCGCAUGUGUUCCUCACUGAUUGAGCCGUUAAAGAUUUACCUUCGCUCGACUUUUACCUCCUUCACCGCCGCCGCUGCCGCCUCACCACCGGGGCCUUCGCUCAUCUGUCUCUGAGGGCGUUCAACCUCGCAGAGCGUCAGCUGGGCUGUAAACAUUUGACUUCAAGGUACAGUGGCCUUACAAGGCCAAAAGAGCUGUUUACUUUCUGCUCUCCUCAGAGGCUCUUUUAACCCUGUAGGUGCUGGGACGACUCCUAUAAGAUGCAGCAGUUUGACCUGUUUGCAUGAAAAAAACCCACUAAUUUAUUAUGUGUCAAGACGUGAAAAAGACAACCUAAUAUGGCAGAACUUUCCAAUAUAGCUCAUGAACCUCUUUGAUUAUAAAUUGGAGCGAAUAUUCUAAAAUAAGGGGGCCAUGCUUUUUCACGAUUUCAGUACAGAGUAUGAAAACUGCUGCUGCCACGAAAUUUCAAAAUAUUUAAUGUUCUUGUCUACUUCUAGACUUCUAGAAUCAGCAUCUCCUCAUCCAUGGUGUCAUCGGGGUGAAAUGACGUCUAAAAACCUUUCACUUGUUCGUCUCCGCCCGUUUGCAUGGUGUGAAAUACGAUCCUCCUGAAACACGGAGUGUUUUAUUUUGAAAAGAAGCCGGAUGUUUUAUUUUGUGUCUGUGCCUGAGUCCGGCGAUCAGAGGAACGGAAAGAAGCUGAUGGAAAUUGACACAUUAACUUGAAUAGUUACGAUCAGCUACGAUCGGCUGUUACGGCCUUAUCGAAACCAGUACACCUCAGUAAUUCAAGGUACGUCUUAUGCUUCCCAACAGCAAACUCACUGCAAAGACAUGAUAAUGAAAGUGCUCCAGGCCUGCAGGGGGCGCUUAGUAAAACAGUUGAUAGUGUUUUAAUAUUGAUGGGUGUGAGUGAGGAAGAUGAAAUGAUGACGCCCGGAGUCUGGCUGCUUAAAAUCAAAACUUAAAAUCCUGGACUUAAUUGAUUAGAUAAACAAUCUAAAGUUAAAGAGCAAAAAAGAAAAAAAGUAAACUGUUAAAAGAAGAAAAAUCCAUCAACCUCUAAAAGGUCAGAAAUGUAAAUUUGGCUGCUGCAGCAUAACGUGUAUGUCCUGAUAGUUGAGCAGAGACUAAAUCCAUACCUGUUAAAUAAUCCGGAUCUCAGAUGUGAAAGGUUCCUGUCUAUCCGUGCAACAUCUCAGUGUUCCUGUUAGUCUGCAGGCUGAGAUGCAGCUCCAUAAAUUACGUGUGAAUCAGUCCCGUGUCUGCCCAGAGGUUGUGAGAAACACCAUUAGCAGAACGGCCCUCCAGCCCUUUGUUAAUGUAAUUUGCUUAAUUGCUCUGUAUCAGUGUACAGAUGAGACGUGUUCGCUCGCCGAGGUCCGCGGAGAGCGUUCUGGACAUAUUUAUUUUAAUACUCCCAUCCUCUUAUGGCUCCUGAUCCAUUUUUUAUUGCUUGAUGCCCGCUGACGACUCUCUGCAUUUGAUGAGGAGUUACUCUUGGAGGAAGAGUCAGGUUUGCUGGUUUGGUUUUGACUAAUUUAAACUCUUUGAAUGAAGAUAAUACCUGAAUAUAUGAACCCUCUCUCACCCUGAUCUUUCUAAAACCCAUUUAGCUUGACUUUAGCCGACUAUAAAAACCGGCUUCUUGAUUCAGGAUCCAAAUAAAUGUCCUCUCAGGUCUGUAUCAUGGAGGAAAUCUGAUUUACUGCGCAGUAAAGGCCUCCUGAUGAGAGGUUUCCAAACCCUCCUGCUCACGACUUGUUGGAGGAAUGACUCUGAACACCUGAACCACAACCUCGAUCCUCCACCCGUGUGUUUCCUGUAACCUUCCAGCUGCAGCUUCCUCCUUCAUCUCCUCCUCCUCGUCAUCGUCUUCUUCAGUGUCUCUGUUUCACCCCGGGGAGUGACGGCUCCUCGCUCCCCGCUGUGACGGCUCCUCUGUGGUGUUUAAUUACAGGGGAGGCCGAGGAGUCUUCCUCUCCUCUGAUGAGUCGAAGGAAGAGAGCGGCGGAGGCUUGGCCUUGAACCUGGUAACACGGGAGCGAGCCUUCUGAUUGGCUGUUUUUUUUUUUUGUACUUUUUGUGUUUUCACUCUCUGAUUACCUCCAUCGUUCAGCUUCAUCACUGAGGUUCAGAUUUUCUCACUUUAUCGACUUCUUUCUCAGCUGUUUGGAUUUGUAGCAGCAUUUAUAUGAAUGUUCCUGACUCCACAAACCUCACUGUCCUGACCGUGAAGAUCCUCUUCAGAGCAGUGAGAACAUUUAUGUCAUAAAAUUAAAUAACAUGUUUCACAGAAUUCCUAGAAAUAAGAUAAAAAGCAUAAAAAAUAAAGGCCUGACUGGAAUGUCCUUAUCUGCAGGGCAGUACGUCUUAACGUGACGUAAACGCCGUUAUUCGCCUUCAUCUGUUAAAGGUCCACAUCGUGACGUUUAUGAGGCUUUAUGCAUUCUUACAUUUUCUACUUUAGAAUCAAAUGAACCCUGCAGGCAGGAAAUGAGAAAAAUUAGGACAGAAAAUCCCUGAAAUGUAGAAAUGAGGGAGAGUUUCCUCCACUGGACCUUUAGGAGUUUCAGAAAUCUAAUCUAGAGACGUAAAACUCUCACUUUUGAGUGUAUUAGUCCUUUAAGGUUUGUUGCAGUGCGUCUUAAAGUCUGUGAGCGUCACUUUAAGCUCGAUUUUUAAGUAAGGACUAAAACCAGAGUGCCUGCAGGUAGAAACUCCCUCCAACUCUUUCUUCUCCCAAAAGGAGGAGAUGAAAAGAAACCUGAACAAAGACUCAGUCGGUUUGAGGACGACGGGCGCGACAUACGAGCCGUCAAACGGGGCCGAUAUGAAUCUGCGCUGUAAUUCAGAGAAAAAGAGAUUAGAAGCAGAUAAUGGUCUCAUAUCUCAAAAGUUAACAGUGAGGCCCGCGUGAACUGUGAAUAAUCUUAUAAUUACUGAUCUAAUGCCAUUAGGCCUGACAGAAAUAGAGAAAGCAACGCUUGGAUGGGGCACAGUUAAUCAAGUGUGCGCUCCCUCUCGUUGGAUCAUCAGUACCCGCGCGCACGCUCGGCCCACGACUGAUGAUAGGUAUGAGUUUAAAUGACAGCUUAAAGGAACAUUACGCCGCACUCAUAUUUGGUUAACUUCCCCGACCAAAUGGUUCAAAAACGUGACAUUUUUUUAAUGCGCCUCACUUUCAUUUCAGCCCCCUCCAUUUGUGAGCUCGUCUUUUUUUCACCCUCCACUUCAGGAGGAGUUUCCGUUUUUAUUCGCCCCGAUCCUUCUGACAUUUUUUUUUACUUUCUGCUGUUAGUUUUGAAAAGUUCCUCAUGUUUUUCUUUUUCUUAUUCGUUUCUUUUCUUUGAGAAGGAUUUUCCUCCUUUUUUUUCAGCCGCUCCUUUUGUCUCUGAUUACUCAUUUCUCAUUAAUAGCUUUGCCUCAAAUUCCUCUGACUUUAUUCUUCCUGUCUGAAGCCUCCCUGUCCUCUCUUUUUUAUUUUCUAUGCCUUGAUUUUUAAAGGUGUAUUCGUUUUUUCCUCCACCUUGAUUUUCGGGGCGUUCUUCCUCCUCUUUGUUGCCUUGAUUCGAGCGUUUUUUCUUGCCUGGGGCUGUUCUGCAGGCGAUAUCCAUCCUGACUGGAGUUCCCUCACCUUGCGCUCUCGUUUGAUCUCGACACACUCGCAGAGGCAGACUGCUGAUCUGUCCGUGUUCAGCGUCUGUUCCAGGUUGUUCUCACAAUGUGAGAAUAAUAACAAAAUAAAGCGCAGCGCCGGAGGCUUCCUUCCCGUCUCCCAUUCAUGUUGUUUUUCUUUUAUUUCUCAGUGUGUGGGAGAGAACGCUGUGACAAAGUGCGCACCCAGAGUUUGACAGUUUAAAGAAAAGAUCCGCCCUCAGAUUGUCAUCCGCCGUUUGAUCUCAUCAGUCUGUGAUGUUCAAUUUGAUGGCAAGUGUGUUCCUGGCUGAUUGUUGCUGCUGAAAUGCUCAUAUUGUCUUUAUUUGACCAGUGGGUAGAAGAAGAAGUAGAAGAAGAAGAAGUGUCUCUAAAAAUGUAAAACUAGCUGCGCUGGUAGAUGUCAGGAAGACUUAUGAUGAGUCUCUGCUCUCUGCUCAGGAUGGACAUGUUACAGAAAGAUGAAGUUGACUCGACUUUAAAGUCCUGUAACAGUUAGCGCUCAAUUUAGUCACAGUUUGACUUUGUUGAAGGACAGAAGACCAGCUUCUUUUUCAGAUUUCUCCUCUGUUAUCUCUCAGACUUGGCGUUGAGGUGAAAAGCAGUCAACAUUAUAAUUUACCUGCGCACGCUAUCAAGUCAAAACUUGCACAAAAUCAUGUUUCGUUGCAAAAAUGGUCCAGAGGAGAAACUCAGCAGGAGGCGAUUCUUAGUUGGAGAAGUGAAUCUGCAGAUUUAGACUCAGACAGGAAGACAAGAGUGGAAAAUUCCUGCUAGGUGUUUGUUGAGAUCGUACAGGUCGAAGGUUUAUAUUUAUGCCUGGUUAGUGUAUUUUUGUGUUAAUAUGGGACGAUGCUUUGGAGCUAAUGAAGGUCUGCAGGAAGAGCUGAGUUUAAAUCUGUGCAUGCGUCCCUCAGUGUGUCAGGAUCUCUCCGAGGUGCAUCUUUUGUUUGAUCAAACCCUGAAAAAGGGCUUUACGUUGUCUGUGUUAAUUGAAUUUUUUCUCACCGGCAGAGUUAUAGACCUGUAAAUGCACAAAACCAUCUUCUCUUCUUUGAUUUCCUUGUAAAAAUAGUAAUUUUAUGAAGACAGGGCUGAAAGGAGAGUGCAAACUUUCUGUAAUUUAAUGAUAAAAGUUGUGUUUCCUGUACAUGACCUGAUAAAAGACGUACAGUUCGAGGCUCUGUGCGGUUGUAGCUUUACUGUCAUGGAUGAAAGUGUCCUUUUUCUGCCUCGACUUUGAAGCUCUCACAGCACUAACUGUUUCUUUUCCCCACGACCGCACGAACACGGACGAGCAAAUUGUUUUUUUAACUUAAAAAGGAUCAUACCUUUAGCUGAUCUCCGUCUCAUCUGACUGAAACAACGCGCUCAGAAGCUCCAGGAAUAAACAAAUGUGUCGGAUCACUUUGACGCUAAUGGUGUCUCCCCAGAUGAAGUUCCAAAAUAUUCAAUCUUUAUUUACAGGCGGCUACGUUUUGGGAGCCUCGAGAGUCAGACUUUUGAUUACACAACCUGCCAUCUCUGUUGGACGUUGGUCUUCCAGGGAAUAAACAUGGCCCAUAAUUAGAGGAACAUGCAGAUCUGCUAGAUGAGCGGUGAUGGUGGCGGGCUGACUGGACUGGUCUCUGGGCGGGGAACGGCGAUAAUGAAGGCGUUUUGAAUUUGGGUCUGAAAGUGGACUGAUGUGCUCCCAAACGGCUCCCCCUGACUGUUUGGGAGGGUUCAAACUUUUUCCUCAGCUUUGUGGCUUUGUUCUUUCUCACUUCACACAUAAUCAGGGUGUGUGUUAGUGUGCGUGUGUGUGUUUGUGUCUGUGUGUGUGUGUGUGGUGUGACAGAGGGGACUGCACAACAUGUGGGACGUCCACCAUUUGCAGAAACAGACACCUGCGACUGUUUUUCUCUGGGAAACUGAUUUCUUUAAUGUUAUCAACAGUUGAAAUCCUCUGAAGCGGAUGUAAAAUCCUGUAUGUGCUGUAAAAUUGGGCUCAUUUUCAGACUCUAAAAAUAGGCUGUGUCCUAUUUAUCUGUGUGACCGAUAUAUACACACACACACAUGCAGAGGUAUUUUCUGUUUCUUUUUACAGCAUUUUACCGCUUUAAUCUAGUGACACCCUCUGGGCUACAGUACAGUGUGUGUAAAGACAUAACUAUUUGUUUGUACCAGGCAGUGUACAUGUGUUUAAUUUUGCUGUUAAAGUUGUUUUUUUAACAUGGGUGACAAUGAAGAUAAUUGACUUUUAAAGCCAGCCUCUAGUGGACACUUUUAGAACUGCAGUUUCUUUAGCACUCGAUCAAAUUCCUAAAGAGUUUGAGCGCUGAGUGUAAAAAUAAACUUUAAAAUUUCAGAGAUUUUAUUGCCUAAAUGUUUUAUUUACAUUUAUAUUCUCCUUCUUAAAGCUUAAUUUCUAUCAAUGAAACUCAUUUUUCACAUUCCAGUCAAUCCAGUGUCUGAAAAGCAAACUGAAAACAUACAUUUUCAGUCUUGCUUUUAACUAAAUUCUAUAUUAUUAACUUUAGGAGUUUUAGCAUGUAUCUCUUUCUAGAUUUCUAUUUUGGUGCUCUUAUUUUAGUCUCUUUUACUGUUAUUUUUAUUUCUUUUUAUUUAUUACUUCUUAAAUUUAUUUAUUUUUUUCAAUUUUGGAUUUUAAACUCUUAUCUUGAGUUUCAAAAUGUGUGCUCACUUUUUUUUUUUCCAUGAAAUUGAGCCCUUUUUUAAGUUUGUGCAUUUUAAUCCUGUUCUGUUGUAUUUAGAUCCUGAGGUGGGAAUGAGGGGUUGGGCUGGGGUAGAUUUGGGUUUUCUUUGUUUCUUGUGCUGCAUGGUCAUGUCUGAAAAGUGCUUUAUAAAUAAAGACUGACUAAUUGAUUGAUUAAAGGUUCAAAAACAAGCAUACGUUAGCUCUGUAGCUCCAUGAGGAGACAAUCACUUCAUGUUAUCUUUGACAUUAAGAUGUUAGAAGUGUAAUAUUUUAACAUUUCUGUAGUUUUUCCUGUUUUUAGAUCAUUUUAACGUGAAGCAGCCUCAUGCUUUCAUCCAAACCUCCGUCAUUUAUCAGACAUCAGGCGCUGGAGUCUGACUCUGAGUCUGCUGGAGUUUAAUUUUAAGAAUUGGCCUCCAACUGAAACAUCUUAAGCCCCUCCCACAUUAAGAGCCAGUCAGCCAAUCAGACUGCGCCUUCCUCUGCAGCUCUGCUUUAUAAAAAUAUUUGAACAGCUAAGACUUCAGUCUGUGAUGAAAUAUGCCCAAAAUAAAGUCUUAAUUUUCACGUUAAUACCCUCUGUGCUUUUAUUUUCCUAAAACAUCAAACACAGAUGACUUCCUCUCUGAAAAUAACUGACAGCCCUCAGACGUGACACACUCCGAGUGAGUGAGUGAGUGAGUGAGUGAGUGUGUGUCACUGUACACAUAUGGGCCAGCACAGUCACACUCACCAGUUUGCAGGCUGUGUAGUGUCACUGAAGGUGUGUGUGUGCGUGUGUGUGUGCAUGUGUGUGUGUUUUGAGUGGUUGUGAAACAUGAUGUGACGGCAGCGGGCGAUCCCACGAGGGGCCCUCGGUGUCAUGUCGAAAAAAUACCAUAACAUGUGCAUUACACUUAAGUGAUUCUUCUUCCAUCUGCUGAGUACGACAGCAUUAGCAUAGCCGUUUAAUUAGCAUCCCCCUUUAAUCACCUCCUCCUAUUUACUCAGACACGGGGAGCAGAGGGGCGCUCAUUUAAGACACACAACACCAGUGAGAGUGAUGAGACACACGAUUGAUGGAGGAGAGACCAGGUUCUUUUUUUUUCUUUUUUUAAUGCAAACUUUAUUUAAAUUUACAAACCAGGACGUUAAGAUUAACUCUGAGGUGAAAUUGUGCAUCAAACUCACCUUUUCAGCUGUUUUUUCUCUAGUAUUUGAAGUCAUUUUUCAAACCAAACUAUCAUAGAUAAGGUCAGAGGUGUUUUCAAAGAGUCAAAGCUUCUCUGACGGAAAUGCAAGGACAAAACUGCAGCAGAUUAUAUCUGCAGAAAGUCGUCUUUGGGAUGUUCCAGCUGUUCUUUACAGACAUUAUUAUGGACAUAGCUUUGUUGUUGUUGUUGUUGUUAUUGUCUGUUUACAGCAGCUGGAAAUUCCCUCGUACAGCUGACCUAAAGAAUACCUUUUCUGCAGAAACUGAUAUCAUGACGAUGCUAUUGUGCUUUUCUUUAUUAAAGGUGUCUUAGAGGAAUAAUCUCUUUGCUUUGGGAAGAUUAUUAAUUAGAUUAUAUUCAGAUAUAUUGUCAUUAUCUAAUCUCAGGCUAAAAUGGAGAGAGUCUGCAGAAGGAGCAACUGCAGGACUGAGCUCUUAUUGGGGGAAUUUAUCCAUCAGUUUACAUGAUGUUGUUGAAUCUUGUCUGUCUGCGAUGUGUAGAUGCAGAGGGAGGCUUCCUGACACUGGCUGGCUUGUAUAAUAGGAAUUUAUCACAAAGACAACACCAGUAUCAGAACAGCACUGCAGUUACUGGGAGAGAAACCAGAGUUUGUGAUCCUGUUAUGUAGGGUUAGAGGUUUUAGGUCCUCCUACAUCCUCUGUUUAUCUUUAAGUUAUAUUUCUUUACCAUCACUAUCAGUUUUUAUUGUGCCCCUAAAGUUCUUUGUGCUCCUUGUGAAAAAAAAAAAAAGUGUCAAUCUCUGAAGUCUGACUUUUUUUCUUUUUUACCUUGUGAAAAUGUUUCAUUCAGGUUUCAGGAUGAAGCUGUUGUGCCUCCUUGAAUCACUUAAAUCUGUCUGAGUAUAAACCUGAUAUUCUGAAAUUAUACAGUCAACUCAAUCUUUCCUGGACGUGUUGGAGUGACUCAGUGGUUCAGUUCAGUGAAGUUUGAUUCCUCUUUCUCGCACCUUCAUCCUAAUGAAUCUUCCAUUAGGUUUCUAACAGUAAAGAGAAAGAUGUCACCCUCCUCUUCUCAUCUUCAUCAGAACAAAGCAAACACAUCUGAUCGUCCUUUCACCCCCUGCUCUUUCUCUCCCUUUCAGAAUAAAACCAUCAAGGAUGGGUGGGUGGGAUAAAAAAUUGGGAGCCCCAGUGAAUGGCUUACAUUUACAUUAAUGAACUUGAUUUGAAUGGAGGUUCAUAUCAAGCCUCAUAGAUUCUGCGCUGUGAUUUUAUUAAUUGCAACAGAGGCGUCAUUGUUUGUCGUUUUGACGCCAAUUCAAUUAAAAUCCCAUUUAGAGGGUAAUAGAUUAGGCGGCGUAAACUUUAUGUGACUAAUAUGAAAGCUCUGCUGCUAAACUAACUGCUGUGUGUUUCCAUGCACGUGCACUCUCUCUCUCUCUCUCUCUGUGCAUGUGUAUCAGUCAAUCCUGUAGGUGUUCAGUGUGUGUGUGUGUGUGUGUGUGUGUGUGUGUGAGGAAUCGCUGCCAGCAUCUGUGCAGCUCGGCUCACUUUGAUUCAUAAUUGGUCGUCUUUUGAAGGAAUUAGCAGCUUGUAAUUCUAUACUUUAAUUUGAAUAUUCACAGUAAAGAUGUGUAGGAGCCGUUCAGUCUGCUGUUGUGAACUAAUUACAUUUUAUAUAGCUGCCUUUAAUUGUGGUGUUAAUCACAUGGUGAUAUAUUAACCUCAGCUCAGUCUGUGUGCCGCUCUCAUUUGAAUAUUAGCUGAAAUGUUAGCAUGAGUGCAGGAGGAGCGGGUUUAUUCCUGGUCAUUAUGGGUGAGUUAUUUCAGGAGACAGUGAUGGUUUCAGGACGGUUUGUUUACUUUGGAGAUGUGUUUUCACGUCAGUGUGAGGGGGGCGUCCUUUCAGAGGACCCUUUAUCUGUCUUCUGCUCUUGUUUUUGCACAAAUAUGAUCUGACCCUGAAUAAAAAUAUUGAUCUCUAGACACGAUAAAGAGGCUGCAGGUCCGAGUGAAGACAGUCCUGACUUCGUUUCACUCUCCUCUGAGUCGGUUUAAAACUCUCUUUCUGAUUUAUUUUAUCUGAUAUUUCUAUUUGGAUGAAAAUUUUGAGUUCCUGUGUGGUUUCCAGCUCUUCACACUCACUCACACACACACACACACGCUGAGUCCACAGAUUUUACAGCACAGAUGAGCUACUUUCAUGUAAAUGAAAACAUCAUGUUGAUCCAAUCAUAAAACAGUCAGUUUACAUCUUCACGUAGUGGAUUUCAGUCAGUAAAACAGUCUUUUCUCCCGCCGUAAAGCUGAAUCACUGAGUAUUAUAAAUCUAAACCAGAUUCUGCUCGCUUUAAUAACCCUAAUCCUUUCAUAUCAGAGCACUAAUCACACUUUUCUCCUUUAUUGAUACAGCACAGGUGUAUUAUUUACUCCCCGUGUUUCUCUGUCUGCAGAUUUCUCCUCCAACCAGCCUAAUCCAGCACCUGUGCUCAAACUCCUGCCAAUACAAACUCACCGUGUUUUCCUCCUCUGCUACAAGUCUGCUAAUUCACCCGGAGGAGUCGAGCGAAGUGCACACAACCACUCGGAGGGAGUGUUCUGCAUUAAAAAUCCUUUUGAGCCCGUGUAAGUUUGAGAAGAGGAGGAAAAGAAAAAAAAAAUCGGUCUUUAAUAAUGCACAACCUGAGACGACGGCACAGAGCAAUAUACAUUUUUAAUUACUAAAGUGACUAAUAUCUAGGUUUGGCUUUGAGGUUUUUGUCCCAUAAAAAAUGCAUUUCUGUUUUGUUCCCCGCAGCGGCGUCGGAUACACACACCUGAGCGGAGCUGCGGGCUUUUAGCGCCGAGGAGGAAGUUCAAUAACACGAGGCGUUCAGGUACUACAUGCAAAUAAGUGGAUGUGAAUUUUAUGAGGGGGGAAAGUAAGCCAUGCAUACCUAAAUACCUGUCAGGUUGCAGGAAGUCGGCCUAAUAACAGCCUGAGAGAGAGAGAGAGAGAGAGAGAGAGAGAGUGAACUCCACUUUGCACCUCAUGAGCUGCAGCCUCUGCGUAGAACAGAUCAGAUCUGAUGUUUAAAAGACGGACAUUUGACGCUCCUGUCUUUAAAAUCAGAUUUUUAGGUGCAGGUGACACAUGCAGGUCGAUGCAAAGGAGGUGUGUGUUAUAAAAAAAGAAGAAAAUUGUGCGGAUUACACAUCUCCUCUCAGAAAAGAGAUCCUAACCAACACAAACCCUUUUUUAUUUCAUGUCUUUAACCUCAAUUUAAUCGAACAGUCUGUGCAUUUUCAAGAAACGACAUUUUCAAUCCGACCAGAGCGUAAAAAGUUCCAUAAAAGGAUCAAAUGCAGAAUAUGCAGAACUUGCAGAAGAUGAGGGACGUGUUUUCUGAAAUUUAAAGUCUGAGAGUUAAAAAAAAAAUGUUCUUGAGUUUUAAAAAAUCAACAGCGGUCCUGUUGGAGGAGUGAAAUCAGGAUAAAAAACACUGAACAGAGCAGGAUUCAGGGCUGCCGCCGCAGCUGAAGACGCUCCAAACGAAACAGAUUUUCUGCUUCUUUCUUGGACUUUCUCGAGGUGAUGCAGAGUACUUUUGCACAACGGGGGGCGAGAAGGGACAAAAAAGAGAAUUUUGCUGUGUGCAAAGUGUGUCUUUCUUCACACUUUCCCCAUUUGUCUGUGCAUUAAUUGGAGAGCCUUCCCUUUUUAGAUGGAGUGCAUUAUUUAUGACGCAGCCUCAAACGCGCAGAAGACUUCCUCACACACACUCACACACACCAAGACAACCAAGAAGGCUCUCCUGACACCAGGCUCGUCUCCUGAGUGAGCCGGCGAGCGCCGAUCCAGCCUUACCUUAGCUUUCCCUCAUAAAUUAAAGUUAAAUGAACACGCUGAGAAAGUAGCUGUGGCCUUUAAGUGAAGAAGUAAGUCAUUAAUCAAUCAUGUGUCUCGUCACUCCGCCCACACCCCUCGUUUUAAAAAACCAAUGUCCAAGGGGAGAGCCGGCUGCUAACCAGAGUUUUACAUCCCACAUCUCGAGUUUCUCAAAGAUCUACAGAGUCUGCAGAGCCCAGAAGGGAGAGCCAACCUACCUAAUUUGAUUUUUGAUAACUUAUUCCUUCACUUCACACAGGCCCCGGUUUGAUGUCGUAUGCCGUUUCUGUGCACUUAGCUUCUCCUUUCUUGCACAUAAACUCCCUGCAUCACCGCGAGCUACUUUCUUCUCCUCUUAGGAGAAGACAAAGAAGAGAAAAACCUUCCUGCUUUCUUUUUUUUUUUUCUUAAAGGCCCAAACCAGCGACAGGCAGGCUCCUUUUUUUUCCUCCCCACCCGUGUCGAUCCGUACCGGCGGGGGGAAAGUGUUUACCACGACUUUUCAAAGUUCAAUCAACGCAAUAUGAUGUCAAUUAAAGGUGACAAAGAGUUUAACACUUCCAUAUGCGGCGGCAGAGCUUCAAAACCACAGACUCUGACUUUGGGAGUGGAACUAUUAAGCGGGUGCCAGAAAAUGUGCCAAGUGUCCAUAUGUCUCAUAAGGUGCUCUUUUUUUAUUUUAUUAUCCUUCAGAGUGAGAUUUGUCCUCAGCAACCCCAGACUUUCUUCAUUAAGUUAGUUAAAGAAGGAGAAAAAAACAGCACUUUACUCCUCCGCCUUCUUUCUCCAAUUAUUUUUUUAAUUGUUGGAUUCUUUUAUGACUUGAAAGAGGCCCAUGUUUUCUUCUUCUUCUCUCCUGGCCUCUCGCUGUAGUUUUCUGCUUUUGCUUGGCUCCUCUUAGCAAGAUUCGGUCGCUUGUAAAAAAAAAAAAAAAACCUCCCGUCUGUUUCGUUAUCUCCUCAUCCCAUCCACUCCAAGGAACGUUUGCAGAGUUUUCUUCCAAAAUAAAAAAACAGAGAGAGAUGCACCGUUGUUUUCUGCCAUCCUGUGAAAAACCUCACGACUCAGAAUCGGGUUAUUUAAAUGUAGUUAAGGCGGCACGCUGCUCUGCAGAGAUUAGAAAAGUCCACAACUGUCUGGCUGCACGCAAACCUUUCAAAAGCAGUAAACAGUUUAAGUAAACCAGAAUGCGGUGCCAUCGAGUUAAAUAAAGCAGCUUUUCUGACUUCCUGAAAAGUUGACAUGGAGAUGGAAGGUUUUUACUCGACAGAAGAAAACUGGAAAAAGAAAGAAGCACAAAUCCAGCAAACAUUAAGACGAGCGAGGAGACAGAUUGCUCUAAAUGGGAUGAAGCGGAGUAAAUAAGGCAGGAAAACGAAGUCCAGGACUGAAGCUACCUGCACUUUACCAGAGCUGAAAAAAACAAACUUAGGACAGAGUUAAAGUUAAUUUUUAAAAAAAGGCCCAAAUAUUCAGUUUUCAUUCUCCUCUUUCUUUAAAUUUCACCCAAACAGGAGAGAUUUUAGAGAAAUGUCGCGUAUUCACGCUCAGAUUUUCCUCGUUCAUUCAGCUCCGUAAAGGCUCCGGAGUUUGACGAGGAAACACGGUCACAAGUGUGGGUUUGUUUGGUGGAGCAGAGGUGGUGUGUUUUAUUUAGAAGAGAAGGG